RNAcentral lists this transfer RNA (74 nucleotides) under Choricystis parasitica. Its description in RNAcentral is "tRNA-Ile". It matches the Rfam family "tRNA". From Rfam's summary of the family: Transfer RNA (tRNA) molecules are approximately 80 nucleotides in length. The record is from RNAcentral. Lineage: Eukaryota; Viridiplantae; Chlorophyta; Trebouxiophyceae.
GGGCUGUUGGCACAGUUGGUUAGCGCAUACGCCUGAUAAGCGUAAGGUCGGUGGUUCAAAUCCACUACAGCCCA